Molecule: ribosomal RNA, 460 nt
Filed under: uncultured bacterium
Lineage: Bacteria
Description: partial 16S ribosomal RNA
Rfam family: Bacterial small subunit ribosomal RNA
Source: RNAcentral
CCUACGGGUGGCAGCAGUGAGGAAUAUUGGUCAAUGGACGAGAGUCUGAACCAGCGAAGUAGCGUGAAGGAUGACUGCCCUAUGGGUUGUAAACUUCUUUUAUAUGGGAAUAAAAUGUUCCACGUGUGGGAUUUUGUAUGUACCAUAUGAAUAAGGAUCGGCUAACUCCGUGCCAGCAGCCGCGGUAAUACGGAGGAUCCGAGCGUUAUCCGGAUUUAUUGGGUUUAAAGGGAGCGUAGGUGGAUUGUUAAGUCAGUUGUGAAAGUGUGCGGCUCAACCGGAAAAUUGCAGUUGAAACUGGCAGUCUAGAGUACAGUAGAGGGGGGCGGAAUUCGUGGUGUAGCGGUGAAAUGCUUAGAUAUCGAGAAGAACUCCGAUUGCGAAGGCAGGUCCCUGGACUGCAACUGACACUGAGGCUCGAAAGUGUGGGUAUCAAACAGGAUUAGAUACCCUUGUAGUC